UACGAAGGGGGCUAGCGUUGCUCGGAAUCACUGGGCGUAAAGGGCGCGUAGGCGGCCAAGUAAGUUGGGGGUGAAAGCCCGUGGCUCAACCACGGAAUUGCCUUCGAUACUGCUUGGCUUGAGACCGGAAGAGGUGAGUGGAACUGCGAGUGUAGAGGUGAAAUUCGUAGAUAUCGGGAGGAACACCAGUGGCGAAGGCGGCGAUCUGGGAAGAUACUGACGCUGAGGUGCGAAAGCGUGGGGAGCAAACAGG
RNAcentral lists this ribosomal RNA (253 nucleotides) under uncultured bacterium. Its description in RNAcentral is "partial 16S ribosomal RNA". It matches the Rfam family "Bacterial small subunit ribosomal RNA", at positions 524 to 776 of the family's 1533-position model. The record is from RNAcentral.